RNAcentral lists this unclassified non-coding RNA (306 nucleotides) under uncultured fungus. RNAcentral describes it as "partial contains small subunit ribosomal RNA, internal transcribed spacer 1, and 5.8S ribosomal RNA". The stretch from base 1 to 73 matches the Rfam family "Eukaryotic small subunit ribosomal RNA", at positions 1759 to 1831 of the family's 1831-position model. Lineage: Eukaryota; Fungi. The record is from RNAcentral.
UCAAACUUGGUCAUUUAGAGGAAGUAAAAGUCGUAACAAGGUUUCCGUAGGUGAACCUGCGGAAGGAUCAUUAACGAAUUUCAGGAGUUGUGCUGGUUCUCACAAGUGCACGCUCCUUACAAUUCCAUUCACACCCCUCGUGCACUUUAAGAGACGCAUUUCCCCCGUUUACGUGCCUUUAUCGGCUUGGGAUUUCGUCUGUUUCACACACUCUUUGUAUUAGAAUGUAAUCUAGCGGAAACGCUGAAACAUAAUAUAACUUUCAACAACGGAUCUCUUGGUUCUCGCAUCGAUGAAGAACGCAGC